Molecule: ribosomal RNA, 82 nt
Filed under: Burkholderia cepacia
Lineage: Bacteria; Pseudomonadati; Pseudomonadota; Betaproteobacteria; Burkholderiales; Burkholderiaceae
Description: partial 16S ribosomal RNA
Source: RNAcentral
GUGUGUGAAGAAGGCUUCGGGUUGUAAAGCACUUUUGUCCGGAAAGAAAUCCUUGGUUCUAAUAUAGCCGGGGGAUGACGGU